Molecule: long non-coding RNA, 1324 nt
Organism: Phyllopteryx taeniolatus (common seadragon)
Lineage: Eukaryota; Metazoa; Chordata; Actinopteri; Syngnathiformes; Syngnathidae
Exons: 4
Source: RefSeq, a predicted model, not a curated record
AGAAAUGAAUAGGUGAUAGAUAUCCUCUACCUUAACAUUUGUAGAGAAGGUCCACGAAUGACAUGAAUACUUUGCAUUUUGUGAAACACAUUAUGCCAAAUGAGUAUGUCGCGCAUACGUUGAACCUAAAUCGCGGGAGUAAAUUCGCAUGUUGUGUGUACGUUAUAUCUAUAUGAUGGUUGCAAUUGAAUUUCUUUUUUCCCAUGUCACAUCCUCGGCCCUGUACAUUUGUGUGUUACGCAGUGUAAACCCCAUCUUGUGGGUCACUAAGGCAAAAUGGAGGCUCUGUGUGUGUGUGUGUGUGUGUUUGCCGUCCCCGGGUUUGAGUGAACUGCGGCCAAGUAGCCAGAUUAGCGUGGAUUAGCAGGCAUUUAAAAUAGUCACGUUAUCCCGGCGGCAGGAGCGCUUGCAGAGUCAGCGCCAACAACGGCUACGGCCCCGUACGCCCCCCCACUCCCCUUUCAAGAGCACCCAGACGCGUUAAGGGACUCCCUGCUGAUAAUAAUAGCAGGCAUGUGAACGCUGGACUCUCUGCACUGACACUAGAAGUGUUUUUGUGGGCAACAGCCGUCAGUGGGAAUUCUUGUACACAUGUACGUCGUGUCAAUGCCAGACUCUCGGGAUUUUUGGUGUACAACAAUGUCAGCUCUUUCAUCACUUGUUGGAACAGUUGGAAGUAUUUAGCAUUACCUGUGUUGACCUGACGGUCGCUAGUGGCAACCGGCGGAGCGACGCACCGCGGCGGACAAUGAAUCCGCCGCCGAGGCGUCACGCUCGGCGGAGGCGGCGACGAAGCACCGCGGCGGUCCCCCAACCUGCAGCAGGUGGAUAAAAUAGAUCCGAAAAGUUGCCGUUGUGGUCCUCCGCCGGUGGGUGUCUGCAAUGCGCGGCUCCAUGAUGCUGGAGGCUCCUCCGAGGUUCUCAUUCCGCCCCCCUCUUUUCCGAACGUAAUUCUUUUCCUUAAUAACGGAACGAGGGGUAACGAUCGUCCUCUUCUCCCCACAAAACGGCUCCGUCAACUCCGGCGAGCCCCCGGCUCGGUGCGUACAUCUCCGCCGCCUGGCCGGCAAAUGCCCACUGGCUCCCGGCAACCGCAUUCCACCGUCCCCGGCGGUGAAUCGCGAGCCGAGCGUGACGGAAAUAACCGAAGUACAACCCGAGACGCGGGCCAAGGCGGAGCCCGCGUGGACAUGGAGACAGCAACCUCUGUUGGACAGGAGCGUGAAACAAGACCGAGCGAUUGGACAACACUUUAUGUUCUCCUUGUUGCUGAGUCGUCACUCCUCGGCUGGGGAAAUACAGCGAGCUCCUGAUGAGCCCAACG